RNAcentral lists this unclassified non-coding RNA (414 nucleotides) under soil metagenome. RNAcentral's name for it is "partial contains 5.8S ribosomal RNA, internal transcribed spacer 2, and large subunit ribosomal RNA". The stretch from base 1 to 120 matches the Rfam family "5.8S ribosomal RNA", at positions 35 to 154 of the family's 154-position model. The record is from RNAcentral.
GAUGAAGAACGUAGCGAAUUGCGAUAUGUAAUGUGAAUUGCAGAAUUCAGUGAAUCAUCGAAUCUUUGAACGCACAUUGCACCCUCUGGUAUUCCGGAGGGUAUGCCUGUUUGAGUGUCAUUAAUAUAUCAACACAGGCAAGUUUUUCAUGACUUGCUCUGCUGUUUGGAUGUUGAAGGCUUGCUGGCAAUUACAUUUCCUGUCAGCUCCUUUUAAAUUCAUUAGCAGGAACCUUGCAGGACUGGCUUCAGUUUGAUAAAAUUGAACUGUUGGCAGAAUGCGCUUUUGUUGUUCCAGCUUCUAAUUGUCUGGUAAAACUGGACUGUCUCGCUUUGAGGCAAUAUACUUUUGAUAACUUGGCCUCAAAUCAGGUAGGAUUACCCGCUGAACUUAAGCAUAUCAAUAAGCGGAGGA